This 602-nucleotide small RNA is filed under the name Ciboria aff. conformata KL102. Its description in RNAcentral is "eukaryotic LSU rRNA". The stretch from base 236 to 389 matches the Rfam family "5.8S ribosomal RNA". The record is from RNAcentral. Lineage: Eukaryota; Fungi; Ascomycota; Leotiomycetes; Helotiales; Sclerotiniaceae.
UUUCUUGGUUCAUUUAGAGGAAGUAAAAGUCGUAACAAGGUUUCCGUAGGUGAACCUGCGGAAGGAUCAUUACAGAGUUCGUGCCCGAAAGGGUAGACCUCCCACCCUUGUAUAUUAAUACUUUGUUGCUUUGGCGAGACGUCUUUGUGCCUCAAGCUUUCGAGCGUGAGAGUGCUCGCCAGAGAAUAUCAAAACUCUUUUUAUUAAUGUCGUCUGAGUACUAUAUAAUAGUUAAAACUUUCAACAACGGAUCUCUUGGUUCUGGCAUCGAUGAAGAACGCAGCGAAAUGCGAUAAGUAAUGUGAAUUGCAGAAUUCAGUGAAUCAUCGAAUCUUUGAACGCACAUUGCGCCCCUUGGUAUUCCGGGGGGCAUGCCUGUUCGAGCAUCAUUUCAACCCUCAAGCUCAGCUUGGUAUUGAGCCUAUGUCAGUAAUGGCAGGUUCUAAAAUCAGUGGCGGCGCCGCUGGGUCCUGAACGUAGUAAUAUCUCUCGUUACAGGUUCUCAGUGUGCUUCUGCCAAAACCUCAAUUUUCUAUGGUUGAUCUCGGAUCAGGUAGGGAUACCCGCUGAACUUAAGCAUAUCAAUAAGCCGGAGGAACCUU